UUGAAAGGGAAACGAUUGAAGUCAGUCAUACCAACGGGAAACCAACCUCUUGAGUUUGGUCUCGUGGGUUUUGAAGAGUUUAAAAGCCUUCGGAUUUUCGAGAUUGGGUUCUUCUGGUGUACUUUCUCGUACGGUUAGUCAACAUCGGUUUUGAAUGUCAUAAAAUGACUGGAGGAAUGUGGCUUCGAUCUCGUAUUGAAGUGUUAUAGCCUUUGGUAGAUGUGAUGUUCGAGACCGAGGAUUGCAACGGAUACUCUUCUGGGCUAUUCGUCUGAUCUCUGAAACGUUGCCUUGAUGUCGAAAGCUUGCUUAUGAUGUUAGGGUAUUACGGUCAAAAGGUUAGAACGGAUUAAAUUCGUUAAGGAUGUUGACGUA
RNAcentral lists this ribosomal RNA (375 nucleotides) under uncultured Glomeromycotina. Its description in RNAcentral is "eukaryotic LSU rRNA". Lineage: Eukaryota; Fungi; Glomeromycota. The record is from RNAcentral.